UAAUACAUAAGUAACCUGGCCUUUACAGGGGGAUAACUGUUGGAAACGAUAGCUAAGACCGCAUAGGUGUCAUAACCGCAUGGAGAUGAUAUGAAAUAUGCUACGGCAUAGGUAGAGGAUGGACUUAUGGCGCAUUAGCUAGUUGGAGGGGUAACGGUCCACUAAGGCGACGAUGCGUAGCCGACCUGAGAGGGUGACCGGCCACACUGGGACUGAGACACGGCCCAGACUCCUACGGGAGGCAGCAGUAGGGAAUUUUCGGCAAUGGGGGAAACCCUGACCGAGCAACGCCGCGUGAAGGAAGAAGUAAUUCGUUAUGUAAACUUCUGUCAUAGAGGAAGAACGGUGCGUGUAGGGAAUGACAUGCAAGUGACGGUACUCUAUAAGAAAGCCACGGCUAACUACGUGCCAGCAGCCGCGGUAAUACGUAGGUGGCGAGCGUUAUCCGGAAUUAUUGGGCGUAAAGAGGGAGCAGGCGGCACUAAGGGUCUGUGGUGAAAGAUCGAAGCUUAACUUCGGUAAGCCAUGGAAACCGUAGAGCUAGAGUGUGUGAGAGGAUCGGGGAAUUCCAUGUGUAGCGGUGAAAUGCGUAGAUAUAUGGAGGAACACCAGUGGCGAAGGCGACGAUCUGGCGCAUAACUGACGCUCAGUCCCGAAAGCGUGGGGAGCAAAUAGGAUUAGAU
RNAcentral lists this ribosomal RNA (683 nucleotides) under uncultured bacterium. Its description in RNAcentral is "bacterial SSU rRNA". It matches the Rfam family "Bacterial small subunit ribosomal RNA", at positions 111 to 783 of the family's 1533-position model. The record is from RNAcentral.